GCUUACUCCUUACUGCUAAUGCAGAUGCAGAAUGUGUUCUUCUUACCCAUGGUGCCUCUGGCUAAUGGUGUUUAGCUCUGUGUCCCAUAUUCAGUACCUAGUAGCUGAACACAGGUCCUUCUGUGCACCCUAUACACACGCUGCUCAAUCUGUCUCCUACUGCAGGGUCUCUCCAUUUCCCACAUCAUCAAAGUCCCCUUAUUACUGCUGAAAGCCUCACUCGUUGAAUUGGUUUUGUGUCCAGUUGUGGUGGCCUCCCACCAGGUAUCAUCUGCAUCAGCAGGGAGCCAACUUUUGCAUCCCUGCCUGUGGAGAAACCUCUUCCGUUUCCAUUGCUGUUGCUGCACCCUGCUGUAGCUAGCCAGCCUCUUUGUGCUUGGAGAUGUCCUCAAAAAGCUUUUCUUCAAGUAUGAGUGCAGCGAGAUGGCUUGCAACUUACCCUUCGAUUGAAAGAUAGACUGUUGCUCUUUGGGAACAGAACAAGUACUUCAGAGGGUAUCUGGUGUUAAUCACAGAAUCCCAGAAUGGCUUGGGCUGGAAGGGACCUCAAACCAACCCAGUCCUACUUGGUGCCAUGGGCAGGGCUGCCACCCAGCAGCUCAGCUGCCCAGGGCUCCAUCCAACUUGUUCCUGAGCAUCUCCAGGGAUGGGGCACCACAGCUUCUCCGGGCAGCUGUGCCCUCUGAACAAAAGCACAAACCCGUAAAGCUUCAGUCGAUCCUUUAAAUUAAAAGACAAAAUUUGUCACAUACAGAGUGCUUUAAAAAACUGGAAAAGGGAGCUUUGUGGUUUCUGUGCCAUGGCUAGCUCAACAAGAGGUCCUGCUUGGAGUCCAGACAGUUUGAGCAUGUGUCCUGCUGCCUCUCUGUGUGCAGGCAUUCUGUUAAAAAUACACUUAAUUGCGUUUUUGUAGGUGUACAAGAUGGUACCACCACCACCACAGCCAGCCUUACAACAUUGUUUUCAUGUGUACAUUCUAAUGAAAGAACAUUUUGUUUAGCUUGUGAAAAGGUAAAUAUCUUAAAUCAUAGGAAAACAUACAAUGGCUGCAUUUUAUUGUAAACAAUGAGUGCUCACUACGAAAACACUAGAAGAAUACCACCCUCUUCCUUUUCCUGUUGAUUUUCCAUCCUAUACUUUUGGACAAAAUGGCAUUUCCCUCCAAGACUUGAUGCUCCAUUCUUUCCCAGGUCUUGUUACUGACAUAAUUUCCUAAGUUAUUGUGAUUACUUGUAUUGAUUAAUAUCGCCGGUGCACAGGAGGCUUAUACCAGCACCCAUCUUCAAAGCCAGGGUGGACGUCUUCGCAAGAAAUCUGGCUGCACACUCUGAACUGUAGAAUAGGGUGUGAAAGAUCAACAGUAAUAACUGUGUAUACCAGUUUUAUAAUGCCUAUUGAAAUCUAUGCACCUGUUUAUCUGGAUACGUUGUUUUAUACAGAGUAAGGAAAUUCUAACAUUGUAGUUAUUGCUGGAACUGAGUUGUGCAGAUCAAAGUGAUAAUUACUGUGUUCUAGAAAUCCCUGUUUUUGAUGAUGAGGUUUUUUUAAGCCUAUAACAACACAUAGAUCCAACUGCAAAAGCUUAAAAUUGCCUCUUCAACAGAAGCAGGGCUUUGAUUUCAUCUAAUUUGACCCUUCCACUGCACUUAUAAGUGCACUCCAGUGUGGCUAGAGAUAAAAACUUUGAAAUUUAAAUGUGCAACUUGCAGCUGAGGAUGGAUUUGCGAGCUAGGACACAGAGUACCUUUUGAUGAGCAGCAGUUUUCAUUACAGCUGUCAGAAAAUACCUCCCCAUUAGGAAGCGAUGAGUACAUUUAAUUCAAGUCCAACCCUUCCAACACCAUCACUUACAGACACUCUUCUGCUCUGUGAGUGAGGUUCUAAUAAUACACUGAGCCAUGUGGGACACACCAGGGUGAUUAAUGCUUGGAUGUGAGCAUACACUGCACUGAGUAUAUAUUUUCCCCUUAAAUGAAUAUAUCUGGUUUUCAUUGAUAUUGAGGUAGAUUUGCUCUGUACUUGCUCACAUGAGGAAGCCUAGAACUGUGGGAUCUAUCAUUCAGUAAUAGCUCCUGAUAACUCCAGCAGUCGGAACAUGGCAAAGUAAAAAAUGUGAAUUCAUAUUCACUUUUAAUAAACUGGGGUAAUUAGUCAGUUGAAAUGCAAUAGAAAGUGACAGCCUGUGACACAUAAAAGACUGCAGACUGACAAAGACAGAGCUAUUCUUCAUUGCACUAACAUCCGUUUCUUCAUCAACAUUGAAUUUUUUCAGUCUCUUGGCAUUUCAAUUACAUUAUAAAAUGAAGGGCUAAAAUCCUGGCUCUGCAUUUUUUCUUCUCCUCUUUGAGACUGAAGAAAAGAGAUGAGAAAAACCCUCUCCACAACGUGCUUCUGAACCACCUGAAAUGAUGCCAGUGUGCCCUGGCAUCCAGAGUACCCACAGUGUGUGCAGAAGGUGUUCAGCCUUGACAUCAUUAAGGUGCUGCUGGGAUGGUGAAAUCCCUCCAAAGAUGUUGGCUGGAAGACAAAGAAAAUGGAACAAAAUAGAUUAAAAAAAAAAAAAAAGUAGCAAAAUGUCUGCAACUUGAACAAAUUUAACCAUAAAUGUCGACAUAUCUCAGAAGGUCCUUCACUCCUUGCUCGUAUUAUGGGUACUUCUCUCUGCAUCCUGAGUGCCUGACACCUAAAAGGGACCAUCAGAGGCAGUCAAGUAGCUCAUUUCUGGCAGAAGGCAAUAUGUAUUCCCACUUCACCCACUACGCCUCUCCCCCAGCGCUCCCACCACUUGUCAGGAGGUACAGCAGGGUUUUGGGACACAGGAAACAGGGUGGCAGUGUGGCCAGAAGAAAGACAAGCUUGGACAUCAAGCCAGGGUCAGAUCAGUGAAGUGUGUUCAGGUCCCAAACUUUGCCAGAUCCAGUGGCAGCAGAGGAGGAGGACUUUCAGCUCAUCUUAUGGGAGCAGCAGCUAGUCAGAUGGCUCUGCCUAGGAAAAUCCUGGUUUGUGGUUCCCCUUCUUUUAUGGCGAGUAUUCAUAAGGUCCUUGUUUAGGGACAUAAAAGUGACAUCUUAUAAAUAUAUAGUAUGAGGCAGCUACACUUGUGUCAUCUCAGUAUUUGAUGAGGUUAAGCCUAUUCAGAGAGAAGCAGUACCAGUUGUUUGAUCACUUGAGACAAUGGUAAAAAAUAGACCAGUUGUCUGGCACUUGAGUGCUUCCUCAGGACUGAAACAGUCUCACUGAUAGCUUGAAGCAGCCCGGUGACCGGAACACUGCUGCUCUUCCUGCUGUUCAGGUCCUCUGAAAAUCCAAGCAUAAGCCUCCAGCAGAGAAAAAGAAGAGAAGAGAAAGUAUUUUUACAUGAAGACCAAAUGACUUUUUAAUCCUUUUUUUAAUGACAUCAGGAUAUCUUGCUGUGCAAAGCCUCAGCUUGUUGACUGGUGAAACAUCAGUGACUUACCUCCCAGGCGUGCUGUUUUGUUAAUUUUUAUAUAUGGUUUUGAAAACCUUGGAUGGAAGGCACCAAGGUUGAGCAGUAUAAUUUUCUCAGAAAUCUCAUGGUCUCAUUUGUUUCAGUCGUAUGUCAAAGCGGCUUUUAAUUUCUCAGUUGUGGGACUCAAGUCUUAAAAUACACUACCAGCCAGAAGCUCCCCUUUAAGUACCAGAAUGAAAGGGUCAGGUUUUCAAUUGUUUCCAGUCUCCUGCAGUUCCUAUUGUUUUAAUAGAGAAGUGCUGUUCAAAAAACUUAGUUCCCAGCUGUAGGUAUGAGCACUUCUACUGCUGUGACCUAAUACUUCACAGCACACUCGCUACUUCUAUCACCUCAGUGAAAAGGGAUCUGGAGGGGACUGGUAGUCCAACUGGCAUCCACAGAAAAAUGGUGAUGAACUGAACUGCUUCCACUGCCUCCUUUAGAGUCUUAUUUUUGAGUGAAACAGAAGUAAUCUUUGCAGAGAGAAAUUAGCUACUGCAUGUUUUCUGCAGUUUUUGCAAAUCUUAGAGAGGACAAAUGG
Long non-coding RNA from Centrocercus urophasianus (Greater sage-grouse), 4010 nucleotides. RefSeq lists it as uncharacterized. The record is from RefSeq and is a predicted model, not a curated record. Lineage: Eukaryota; Metazoa; Chordata; Aves; Galliformes; Phasianidae. The transcript is spliced from 2 exons.